This is a long non-coding RNA of Zonotrichia albicollis (white-throated sparrow), 436 nucleotides long. RefSeq lists it as uncharacterized. The record is from RefSeq and is a predicted model, not a curated record. NCBI's taxonomy places the organism in Eukaryota, Metazoa, Chordata, Aves, Passeriformes, Passerellidae.
GCCCUGUGCUGCUGUAGGACCUUCCUCAGUGCUUCAUCUUGCCUCCUUGCACAGUGGCCAAUCUUCACAGAAAUGGCAAGAAACUCUUUUUCUGCCUUGUGGGAAAGACUCAGCUUUUUUUAGAAAAGGGAGCAGUUGCACAGAAGCCCUCAGGCUGAGAAGAGCCGACACUUCCCAGAACCAUUUCAGAGAGCAACUCCCAAAACUUUGCCUUUGCCACCUGCCUUAGAGAACCCUCCCCAGAGCCACAGCUUCAUUUUUGCCAGGAUGCCUGAAAUGUGACACAGAAAAAUGAAGAAACCAGAGAUUCAAGAGGUUUUUUAACUCAGGUGGAGGUUGGUGCCUUUAGUUCAAAGCUACCUAUUAGUGAAUGGUACCCAGAGGAGGAAAAUCAUGCAGCUGUCUGAAAGGAGACCAAAAUUCAAAUGAAAUGUUU